AUAUAUUCUCCACCGGGGGGGAUGAGAACCCCCGACCGGGGUUCGACAACUGGCAACGCCAGUUGGACAGACCGCGAGCCUGCGAGCGGGCUGCCCCGCAGGGGCGAGCGAAGCGAGUCAAUCCCCCCCUCACCGCCA
This 138-nucleotide small RNA is filed under the name Klebsiella pneumoniae subsp. pneumoniae. RNAcentral's name for it is "RtT sRNA". It matches the Rfam family "RtT RNA". Rfam says of the family: This family represents a bacterial cis-regulatory element known as RtT RNA. The exact function of RtT is unknown although it is thought that it may be involved in changing the cellular response in relation to amino acid starvation. Lineage: Bacteria; Pseudomonadati; Pseudomonadota; Gammaproteobacteria; Enterobacterales; Enterobacteriaceae. The record is from RNAcentral.